AGCAGUCGCCGCGGUAAUACGUAGGUGGCAAGCGUUGUCCGGAAUUAUUGGGCGUAAAGGGCUCGCAGGCGGUUUCUUAAGUCUGAUGUGAAAGCCCCCGGCUCAACCGGGGAGGGUCAUUGGAAACUGGGAAACUUGAGUGCGGAAGAGGAGAGUGGAAUUCCACGUGUAGCGGUGAAAUGCGUAGAGAUGUGGAGGAACACCAGUGGCGAAGGCGACUCUCUGGUCUGUAACUGACGCUGAGGAGCGAAAGCGUGGGGAGCGAACAGGAUUAGAUACCCCUGUAGUCCCUGUCUCUUAUAA
This 303-nucleotide ribosomal RNA is filed under the name uncultured bacterium. RNAcentral's name for it is "partial 16S ribosomal RNA". It matches the Rfam family "Bacterial small subunit ribosomal RNA", at positions 507 to 809 of the family's 1533-position model. The record is from RNAcentral.